ACCCCACUAUUAGCCUUCAAGAUAAAAUCUAAGGACUACAGCUCUUAAGCUAAAACUUAAUAACAUGGCGGCGAGCCUAAAUUUCAGAGGAACCUACCAGGUAAAUGAUAACCCGCAAGAUAUUCCUACUUUCUCUAAUAGUUUAUAUGUCGCCGUCUAGUAACCUUUCGUGAAGGUUACAAAAUGCAAGCCGCAAUAAGACAGGUAAUGAUAUAACACAUGGGAAAGACUUAAGGUGGGUUACAAUAAUGAUUUAUUCCCCAAUAUUAUUUAAAUAUAAUAGAAAGAUGGAUUUGAAAGUAAAUUCUAAUAGAAAUAUGUAUUGAAUAUUUCUAGGUUCGUGUACACACCG
This 352-nucleotide ribosomal RNA is filed under the name Vellicolla muscaria. Its description in RNAcentral is "Limulatys muscarius partial small subunit ribosomal RNA". Lineage: Eukaryota; Metazoa; Mollusca; Gastropoda; Cephalaspidea; Haminoeidae. The record is from RNAcentral.